This 76-nucleotide transfer RNA is filed under the name Phocaeicola salanitronis DSM 18170. Its description in RNAcentral is "Bacteroides salanitronis DSM 18170 tRNA-Phe". It matches the Rfam family "tRNA". Rfam says of the family: Transfer RNA (tRNA) molecules are approximately 80 nucleotides in length. Their secondary structure includes four short double-helical elements and three loops (D, anti-codon, and T loops). Further hydrogen bonds mediate the characteristic L-shaped molecular structure. tRNAs have two regions of fundamental functional importance: the anti-codon, which is responsible for specific mRNA codon recognition, and the 3' end, to which the tRNAs corresponding amino acid is attached (by aminoacyl-tRNA synthetases). tRNAs cope with the degeneracy of the genetic code in two manners: having more than one tRNA (with a specific anti-codon) for a particular amino acid; and 'wobble' base-pairing, i.e. permitting non-standard base-pairing at the 3rd anti-codon position. The record is from RNAcentral. Lineage: Bacteria; Pseudomonadati; Bacteroidota; Bacteroidia; Bacteroidales; Bacteroidaceae. RNAcentral also lists the same sequence under 8 other names.
GGUGCCAUAGCUCAGUUGGUAGAGCAAAGGACUGAAAAUCCUUGUGUCACUGGUUCGAUUCCCGUUGGCACCACAA